This 466-nucleotide ribosomal RNA is filed under the name uncultured bacterium. RNAcentral's name for it is "partial 16S ribosomal RNA". It matches the Rfam family "Bacterial small subunit ribosomal RNA", at positions 29 to 507 of the family's 1533-position model. The record is from RNAcentral.
AUGAACGCUGACAGAAUGCUUAACACCUGCAAGUCCCCUUGAAUUUGGGUUUUUAACUUCGGUUUGGGUGGCGGACGGGUGAGUAACGCGUAAAGAACUUGCCUCACAGCUAGGGACAACAUUUGGAAACGAAUGCUAAUACCUAACAUUAUGAUAAUAGGGCAUCCUAUAAUUAUGAAAGCUAUAAGCGCUGUGAGAGAGCUUUGCGUCCCAUUAGCUAGUUGGAGAGGUAACGGCUCACCAAGGCGAUGAUGGGUAGCCGGCCUGAGAGGGUGAUCGGCCACAAGGGGACUGAGACACGGCCCUUACUCCUACGGGAGGCAGCAGUGGGGAAUAUUGGACAAUGGACCAAGAGUCUGAUCCAGCAAUUCUGUGUGCACGAUGAAGUUUUUCGGAAUGUAAAGUGCUUUCAGUUGGGAAGAAAGAAAUGACGGUACCAACAGAAGAAGUGACGGCUAAAUACGUG